GGCUUUCCAGAGCGUGCCGUUGCAGGUCGGUAUAAAGUCGCCGGCGCGGUGCCGACUGUUUAGUGAAGGUCACCGUGCGGCCCGGAGCGGGCUUCCAUCUGGAUCACGGACCGGGACGGUCACUCGCGGACUCGGUGUGCUUUUCGGCAUUCACUCGGAUCGGACGCAGCCAUGAAGGUGGCCGCAGGACUACUGCUGCUGGCUGCUGGCUGCUGGGGAGCACUGCUACCCCACAGUGGAGGUUCACACAGCCACGAGCCGCACCCGCACCCCCACGAGCCGCAGAAGCAGACCGAGCUGACACUGCCCGGUGGCUACCUGCCGCCCUCCCGGGAGUACCUGCCGCCGCCAAAGGCCACCGACCCGCCGAACGGCUACCUGCCGCCGCCAGUGGAUCCUCCUAAGAACUAUCUCCCUCCCGUGGAUCCUCCUAAAACUUACCUCCCUCCCGUGGAUCCUCCCAAAACUUACCUCCCUCCUGUGGAUCCUCCCAAAACCUACCUUCCUCCCGUAGACCCUCCCAAAACUUACCUACCUCCCGUAGAUCCUCCCAAAACUUACCUCCCUCCCGUGGAUCCUCCCAAAACUUACCUCCCUCCCGUGGAUCCUCCUAAAACUUACCUCUCUCCCGUAGAUCCUCCUAAAACUUACCUCCCUCCCGUAGAUCCUCCCAAAACUUACCUCCCUCCCGUGGAUCCUCCCAAAACUUACCUUCCUCCCGUGGAUCCUCCUAAGGCUUAUCUUCCUCCCCCCGUUGAUCCUCCUAAGACCUAUCUGCCCCCGGUCGACCCUCCCAAGGCGUAUCUCCCUCCUGCGCGGAAGCUGCCGUCCAAGUACCUGCCGCCGGUGCUGAAUAACUCGUACCUGCCACCUGCAGUAUAGACGGAACACGGGUGUGCUAACUGUGAUGCUGUGAUGCCAUUGUGUGCGGCGGAACCAAGUGUGAUGAAACGAAACCCGGUGGCAAAAACGUCUCCAUAGAAUGGACAUUAGUAACUACUCUUCUGCAAACAUCUCAUGAACUGUUACUGCGUGAUGUGAUGUUGUUUGUUUAUUGGGUGGCGCUUGAAACGCCCCAUGUGUACUGGUAUUAUUGUGAUAAUAUAUAUGAUAACACAUAAACGGAAAA
RNAcentral lists this long non-coding RNA (1129 nucleotides) under Amphibalanus amphitrite. RNAcentral's name for it is "uncharacterized LOC122379873". The record is from RNAcentral. Lineage: Eukaryota; Metazoa; Arthropoda; Thecostraca; Balanomorpha; Balanidae.